GACGAACGCUGGCGGCGUGCUUAACACAUGCAAGUCGAACGGUGAAGCUCCAGCUUGCUGGAGUGGAUCAGUGGCGAACGGGUGAGUAACACGUGAGCAACCUGCCCCUGACUCUGGAAUAAGCGCUGGAAACGACGUCUAAUACUGGAUACGAGAAGGGUCCGCAUGGGCACUUUCUGGAAAGUUUUUCGGUUGGGGAUGGGCUCGCGGCCUCUCAGCUUGUUGGUGAGGUAAUGGCUCACCAAGGCGACGACGGGUAGCCGGCCUGAGAGGGCGACCGGCCACACUGGGACUGAGACACGGCCCAGACUCCUACGGGAGGCAGCAGUGGGGAAUAUUGCACAAUGGGCGAAAGCCUGAUGCAGCGACGCCGCGUGAGUGAUGACGGCCUUCGGGUUGUGAACCUCUUUCAGCAGGGAAGAAGCGAAUGUGACGGUACCUGCAGAAGAAGCGCCGGCUAACUACGUG
This 468-nucleotide ribosomal RNA is filed under the name uncultured bacterium. Its description in RNAcentral is "partial 16S ribosomal RNA". It matches the Rfam family "Bacterial small subunit ribosomal RNA", at positions 28 to 507 of the family's 1533-position model. The record is from RNAcentral.